This is a long non-coding RNA of Suricata suricatta (meerkat), 1208 nucleotides long. RefSeq lists it as uncharacterized. NCBI's taxonomy places the organism in Eukaryota, Metazoa, Chordata, Mammalia, Carnivora, Herpestidae. The record is from RefSeq and is a predicted model, not a curated record. The transcript is spliced from 9 exons.
CUGGCAGUGGACGUUCCUGGGGGUUCUCAUUGGUGCUGGAGGUGAUCGCUCCCCCAGUCAGUGAGGAAGGGGUCCUAGGGACCCAGCACCCAGACCAGCCUCUGAGGACACGGAGCCUGAAGAGGGUCCUCGCCUCACUCAUGGACAGUCACGGUGCUCACUGGAAACGGUGAGACUGUGUUUUCAGACUUGCUAUGUUUUCUUAAAGCCCUCCCAGGCCAGGAAAUUGCUUCAUGGACAUAAAGGUUGGAACAGAAGACAAAUGACAGGUGCUGGCUCUUGCAUGAUGACCACGUUCUCCCUCUCAUGAUGGGUACACCGUCUUCAUUUUGAAACCGAGAAAAACAUCAUCAGCUCCAAGCAUUCAGACACGAUGCUUGGUGAUGCAGCAGCCAUGUGGUGACCACGAAGUGACAAGCACCAGAUGAAAGUUGUGCGCUAGGAACAGAGGGUGCAGAGGAGAAAGAGCAAGGUCCUUCUCUGGUGAAGCCGCCACACUGACCGGACACUGGACCGAACACCUCCGGAUUCGUGCUUAUGUGUUACAGAUCAUGAACUGGGAGCCCUGUGGAAAGACAAGUGCAUCGGGAACCAAGGUCUGGCCCUGGACUUCUCCCAGGUGACCCUGCCCCCAACAGCCAUCUGGACUCGAAACAGAACUGAGAUUACUAACAUUUCCUGGAAUUAAAAAAAAAAAAAAGGAUAAAAAGAAUUCAACUAGAUGCCCAUUUGUUAGCCCAGCAAUGGCAUGGAUUAGCCUUGAAGAGUAAUUGGUCACUCCUGAGAAAACAUUCGAGUAUGACAAAAUGUGGUAAAGGAGGUGAAAUGGAUGAUGCUUUUUGGUUCUGAGGCUUGCAGUUUUGGUGGGGCACGGUGAGCACAUUGUGUAGCUUCUGCGUGGCAGCAGGUGGGGUGACCUGAAGACUGAAGAGUAGAAUUCUCAGAAGGGGCAUGCGUGUUGCCGGUGGAUGCCGGCGGUUGGCAGGGACAGGUGUGGGGCCCUCCCAUGGGGUCGCUGAUCUCUCCCAGACAGGGUCUGCAAUAUUAAUGUGGCCAUUUUUGGCAAAGACACCCUGCUCCAAGAAAUUCUCGCCUUUUGGAGGUCAUCUGUACCACAUACCUGCAGAGAAAAUGUGAAAAGUGAGCCCGAUUCUCUCAGCUGCCCAGCUGCAUAGAGACAGACACGGGGCUUGAGCUCAUGAAUCAUG